RNAcentral lists this unclassified non-coding RNA (250 nucleotides) under Hevea brasiliensis (rubber tree). Lineage: Eukaryota; Viridiplantae; Streptophyta; Magnoliopsida; Malpighiales; Euphorbiaceae. The record is from RNAcentral.
CUUCUUUUACCGUGUUUCCCGGCAUCCUUUGCUGAGAAGGAAGCCCUUUACUGCCGCUUUGUUCUUGCUUCUUCCUGGUUUGUUGUUCUCUUUUCUACUCAAUGAUUCUUAUUUUGCUUCUGUCCUCACCCUCUCUUCCCGUCUCUUUCUUCUAUUCAAACCCAGAUCGCACUCAGAGAGUAUGGAAGAAAGAGGCUAGAUUUCUGUUCAUCGUUGCGCCGCAAACCCACGUCACAUGCGAGGCUUCGAG